GCCGGCUUAGCUCAGUUGGUAGAGCAUCGGUAUCGUAAACCGAGGGUCGGGUGUUCAAGUCGCCUAGCCGGCA
Molecule: transfer RNA, 73 nt
Filed under: Pediococcus damnosus
Lineage: Bacteria; Bacillati; Bacillota; Bacilli; Lactobacillales; Lactobacillaceae
Also listed under: 8 other names
Description: tRNA-Thr
Rfam family: tRNA
About the family: Transfer RNA (tRNA) molecules are approximately 80 nucleotides in length.
Source: RNAcentral